Molecule: ribosomal RNA, 947 nt
Filed under: uncultured bacterium
Lineage: Bacteria
Description: bacterial SSU rRNA
Rfam family: Bacterial small subunit ribosomal RNA
Source: RNAcentral
GGGAAUCUUCGGAUUCUAGUGGCGGACGGGUGAGUAACGCGUAAGAAUCUAACUUCAGGACGGGGACAACAGUUGGAAACGACUGCUAAUACCCGAUGUGCCGCAAGGUGAAACCUAAUUGGCCUGAAGAAGAGCUUGCGUCUGAUUAGCUAGUUGGUGGGGUAAGAGCCUACCAAGGCGACGAUCAGUAGCUGGUCUGAGAGGAUGAGCAGCCACACUGGGACUGAGACACGGCCCAGACUCCUACGGGAGGCAGCAGUAGGGAAUUUUCCGCAAUGGGCGAAAGCCUGACGGAGCAACGCCGCGUGAGGGAGGAAGGUCUUUGGAUUGUAAACCUCUUUUCUCAAGGAAGAAGUUCUGACGGUACUUGAGGAAUCAGCCUCGGCUAACUCCGUGCCAGCAGCCGCGGUAAUACGGGGGAGGCAAGCGUUAUCCGGAAUUAUUGGGCGUAAAGCGUCCGCAGGUGGUCAGCCAAGUCUGCUGUCAAAUCAGGUUGCUUAACGACCUAAAGGCGGUGGAAACUGGCAGACUAGAGAGCAGUAGGGGUAGCAGGAAUUCCCAGUGUAGCGGUGAAAUGCGUAGAGAUUGGGAAGAACAUCGGUGGCGAAAGCGUGCUACUGGGCUGUAUCUGACACUCAGGGACGAAAGCUAGGGGAGCGAAAGGGAUUAGAUACCCCUGUAGUCCUAGCCGUAAACGAUGGAUACUAGGCGUGGCUUGUAUCGACCCGAGCCGUGCCGAAGCUAACGCGUUAAGUAUCCCGCCUGGGGAGUACGCACGCAAGUGUGAAACUCAAAGGAAUUGACGGGGGCCCGCACAAGCGGUGGAGUAUGUGGUUUAAUUCGAUGCAACGCGAAGAACCUUACCAAGACUUGACAUGUCGCGAACCCNGGNGAAAGCUAGGGGUGCCUUCGGGANCNCGAACACAGGUGGUGCAUGGNUGUCGUCA